RNAcentral lists this long non-coding RNA (441 nucleotides) under Gallus gallus (chicken). RNAcentral describes it as "long non-coding RNA NONGGAT005273". The record is from RNAcentral. Lineage: Eukaryota; Metazoa; Chordata; Aves; Galliformes; Phasianidae.
UUCGGAGCUCAACAGUCUUUUAGAAACAUGUUAGCAGAAUUGGAGUCGGGUAGAAAAAAUACAACCAUCCCCUCUCUCUGCUGAGUCACUGUCAGAAUAGACCUUCUUGGGUUUGAAGGUGAGAGCUGAUGGGUGGGUUGGGUAAAAAGGACUUACUGGGGAUGAAAUGGAGUGUUAUGACCAUCAACCAUACUGCAUCCUCUUUGUCGACUAACAGGGUUGAGGAUAAUGAGUAAUCUGGACGGAGCAGCUUUCUUCCAAGGACCUCAGAACUCUCUGCAGAUGUGCUUCUCUCUGCAAAAUGGCUCUCACUCCAUUUCUGUGAGAACUCUUCCCGCAAACUGGGUCCCUAAGAGGAUUAGUGAAGGGGAUACCAAUUUAUUUAUACUCACCUCAGCAUGGUAGCAGCCAAACACUGUAAGUUGCUGGAUUAUUAAAUGG